UUCUAGCCCUGAUAGCAGCGGUUACCCCGCAACAAGCGUUGAGGUCUUCGGCUAAGCUGAGGGUGACAGCCAGGCGUGAGAAGUAUGAGCGGAUAGCAGGAUAAAGC
This 107-nucleotide unclassified non-coding RNA is filed under the name Chryseobacterium sp. RU33C. RNAcentral describes it as "Flavo-1 RNA". The record is from RNAcentral. Lineage: Bacteria; Pseudomonadati; Bacteroidota; Flavobacteriia; Flavobacteriales; Weeksellaceae.